Molecule: ribosomal RNA, 112 nt
Filed under: Caerostris darwini
Lineage: Eukaryota; Metazoa; Arthropoda; Arachnida; Araneae; Araneidae
Source: RNAcentral
AACGGCCGUACCAUGCUGAAUAUACCGGUUCUCGUUAGAUCACCGAAGUUAAGUAUCAUUGGGCGCGGUCAGUACUUGAGUGCGUGACCACCUGGGAACACUGCGUGCCGUU